This 450-nucleotide ribosomal RNA is filed under the name uncultured bacterium. RNAcentral's name for it is "partial 16S ribosomal RNA". It matches the Rfam family "Bacterial small subunit ribosomal RNA", at positions 354 to 796 of the family's 1533-position model. The record is from RNAcentral.
GUGGGGAAUAUUGGACAAUGGGCGAAAGCCUGAUCCAGCCAUGCCGCGUGUGUGAAGAAGGUCUUCGGAUUGUAAAGCACUUUAAGUUGGGAGGAAGGGCAGUAAGUUAAUACCUUGCUGUUUUGACGUUACCGACAGAAUAAGCACCGGCUAACUCUGUGCCAGCAGCCGCGGUAAUACAGAGGGUGCGAGCGUUAAUCGGAAUUACUGGGCGUAAAGCGCGCGUAGGUGGUUUUGUAAGUUGGAGGUGAAAUCCCCGGGCUCAACCUGGGAACUGCCUCCAAAACUGCAUGACUAGAGUACGGUAGAGGGUAGUGGAAUUUCCUGUGUAGCGGUGAAAUGCGUAGAUAUAGGAAGGAACACCAGUGGCGAAGGCGACUACCUGGACUGAUACUGACACUGAGGUGCGAAAGCGUGGGGAGCAAACAGGAUUAGAAACCCGAGUAGUCC